UGCUUACACAUGCAAGUUGAACGAAGGUCCGAGGCUUGCUUCGGGUACCUUAGUAGCGAACGGGUGAGUAACGCGUGGGAAUCUACCUAGAAAUGGGGAAUAACUACUGGAAACGGUAGCUAAUACCGCAUAAUCCCUUCGGGGCAAAGGCUUCGGCCGUUUUUAGAUGAGCCCGCGUUAGAUUAGAUUGUUGGUGGGGUAAUGGCCUACCAAAUCUUCUAUCUAUAGCUGGUCUGAGAGGAUGAUCAGCCACACUGGGACUGAGACACGGCCCAGACUCCUACGGGAGGCAGCAGUGGGGAAUAUUGGACAAUGGGGGAAACCCUGAUCCAGCAAUGCCGCGUGAGUGAAGAAGGCCUUAGGGUUGUAAAACUCUUUCAGAAGUGAAGAUGAUGACUGUAACUUCAGAAGAAGCUCCGGCUAACUCCGUGCCAGCAGCCGCGGUAAUACGGAGGGAGCUAGCGUUGUUCGGAAUUACUGGGCGUAAAGGGCGUGUAGGCUGUAUGGUAAGUCAGAGGUGAAAUCCCUAAGCUUAACUUAGGAACUGCCUUUGAUACUAUUAUGCUAGAGAUCGAGAGAGGUUAGUGGAAUUCCAAGUGUAGAGGUGAAAUUCGUAGAUAUUUGGAAGAACACCAGUGGCGAAAGCGACUAACUGGCUCGUUUCUGACGCUGAGACGCGAAAGCGUGGGUAGCAAACAGGAUUAGAUACCCUGGUAGUCCACGCCGUAAACGAUGAGUGCUGGCCGUUUGAAGGUUACCUUCAAGUGGUGCAGUUAACGCGUUAAGCACUCCGCCUGGGGAGUACGAUCGCAAGAUUAAAACUCAAAGGAAUUGACGGGGGCUCGCACAAGCGGUGGAGCAUGUGGUUUAAUUCGACGCAACGCGAGAACCUUACCAGGUCUUGACAUCCUGACUAUAGUUAUUAGAAAUAAUUUCUUUCAGUUCGGCUGAUCAGUGACAGGUGCUGCAUGACUGUCGUCAGCUCGUGUCGUGAGAUGUGGGUAGUCCCGCACGAGCGCACCCUUGUCUCAGUUGCUAUCAGUUAUGCUGAGCACUCUGA
This 1060-nucleotide ribosomal RNA is filed under the name uncultured Alphaproteobacteria bacterium. RNAcentral's name for it is "bacterial SSU rRNA". It matches the Rfam family "Bacterial small subunit ribosomal RNA", at positions 45 to 1143 of the family's 1533-position model. The record is from RNAcentral. Lineage: Bacteria; Pseudomonadati; Pseudomonadota; Alphaproteobacteria.